AUGGCUGCUUGUCAGGAUGUGUUUGUGUCCUGUCGUUACCCCAUCCCUAUCCCUGUCCCAUCCCCAACCUGUCCUCAUCCUGUUCCCAUCCUUUUCCUGUCCACAUCACCAUCCCAGCUCAGUUCCCAUCCUUCUCCCUCCCUGUGCCAUCCCAUGCCAUUCCCUGUCCCAGUCUGGAUCCCCAUCCUGUCUCCAUCCCCUUCCCUAUCCUUUGCCAUCCCAUCCCAGUCCCUGUCUGGUCUUUGUCCCCAUCUCUAUCCCAUCCUAAUCCCAACCCUGUCCCCACCCUGUCACGUCCUGUCUCAUUCUCUCCCCAUCCCCUUCCCUGUCCCCAUACUAAACCCUGCCCUGUUCCCAUCCGUGUCCCAUCCCGAUCCUCAUCUCUGUUACUGUUUGUUUCCAUCCCCAUCCCCAUCCCCUCCCAAUACCGUCCCCAUCCCAUCCUCUUCUAUCCUGUCCCGACGCCCCUUCCAUCCCAUCCCCAUCCCCGUAUCCGUCGGGACCCUUUUCUCGUCCCGUCCCAUGCCCAUUCCCUCCAUCCCCAUCCCCUCCUGUCCCCUCCAGUCCCGUCCCCGCAUCCCCCGGCCACCUCGACGCGGAGCGCGGGGCUUUGCUGCCCUCCAGCGUGGAAAGAGGAAACCGGAGGGCUCCGCGCAACCCCCCGGAGAAGCGGCGCUUCGAUGCUGGGUGCGGGGGCUCCGCCGGCCCGGGACGGGCUCCGUUGCGGGACACCCCCGCACAGCGCCCGGCGCCCCCAGCCCCCGCGUCCUCCCGGCCCCCGGCUCUGCCCCCAAUAAAGCCGCUGCUCUGCCGCUGCCUCUCGUUCCUCCUCUUCGUGGCCUGGGGCUGGGGGCACCUCUGGGGGGCUGGGCUGGGGGCUCUGCGCGCACCAGGACGCGAGGAGUGGGGAAGGCGCACGGGGAGCUCCAGCCCGGGGGCUCAGCGCCUGAUCCCAGCAGGCGGUGGCAGGGAUGGGGUCCGGGGUCCACUGACUGGGGAGCGGGGGCUUUCCCCCGGGGCCUGCAUGCCACGCGUGGGGACAUCAGCAAGUGCCCUGCGGGAUGGGAGACCUCCCAGCCUGGGCGUGGGCAUGGACCCCAGGCUGAUCAGGGGUGCUGUGUAUCAACACCAAGCCACAGUGACGCAGGAGCUGGUCCUGUGGGAGCAUGGGGGACAUCGGCAGAGCCUUGCUGGGUGCCCCACUGUUGGCCUUUCUGGAGCCAGGAGGGGGGCAGAGCAGGGGGGAGGCUGCACAGGGGAUGUGGGAGAGGAGCUUAG
Molecule: long non-coding RNA, 1278 nt
Filed under: Anas platyrhynchos (mallard)
Lineage: Eukaryota; Metazoa; Chordata; Aves; Anseriformes; Anatidae
Description: lncRNA (ENSAPLG00020000656.1)
Source: RNAcentral